UACGAAGGGUGCAAACGUUGCUCGGAAUUAUUGGGCGUAAAGCGCACGUAGGCGGCCUAGCAAGUCGGAAGUGAAAGCCCUCGGCUCAACCAAGGAAGUGCUUUCGAAACUGCUGAGCUUGAGUACUUAAGAGGAUCGCGGAAUUCCCGGUGUAGAGGUGAAAUUCGUAGAUAUCGGGAGGAACACCAGUGGCGAAGGCGGCGAUCUGGGAAGAUACUGACGCUGAGGUGCGAAAGCGUGGGGAGCAAACAGG
Molecule: ribosomal RNA, 253 nt
Filed under: uncultured bacterium
Lineage: Bacteria
Description: partial 16S ribosomal RNA
Rfam family: Bacterial small subunit ribosomal RNA
Source: RNAcentral